AGGGUUCGAUUCUGGCUCAGGAUGAACGCUGGCGGCGUGCUUAACACAUGCAAGUCGAACGGGAUCCCAGGAGCUUGCUCCUGGGUGAGAGUGGCGAACGGGUGAGUAAUGCGUGACCGACCUGCCCCAUACACCGGAAUAGCUCCUGGAAACGGGUGGUAAUGCCGGAUGCUCCAGUUGACCGCAUGGUCCUCUGGGAAAGCUUUUGCGGUAUGGGAUGGGGUCGCGUCCUAUCAGCUUGAUGGCGGGGUAACGGCCCACCAUGGCUUCGACGGGUAGCCGGCCUGAGAGGGCGACCGGCCACAUUGGGACUGAGAUACGGCCCAGACUCCUACGGGAGGCAGCAGUGGGGAAUAUUGCACAAUGGGCGCAAGCCUGAUGCAGCGACGCCGCGUGCGGGAUGACGGCCUUCGGGUUGUAAACCGCUUUUGACUGGGAGCAAGCCCUUCGGGGUGAGUGUACCUUUCGAAUAAGCACCGGCUAACUACGUGCCAGCAGCCGCGGUAAUACGUAGGGUGCAAGCGUUAUCCGGAAUUAUUGGGCGUAAAGGGCUCGUAGGCGGUUCGUCGCGUCCGGUGUGAAAGUCCAUCGCUUAACGGUGGAUCCGCGCCGGGUACGGGCGGGCUUGAGUGCGGUAGGGGAGACUGGAAUUCCCGGUGUAACGGUGGAAUGUGUAGAUAUCGGGAAGAACACCAAUGGCGAAGGCAGGUCUCUGGGCCGUCACUGACGCUGAGGAGCGAAAGCGUGGGGAGCGAACAGGAUUAGAUACCCUG
Molecule: ribosomal RNA, 773 nt
Filed under: Bifidobacterium adolescentis
Lineage: Bacteria; Bacillati; Actinomycetota; Actinomycetes; Bifidobacteriales; Bifidobacteriaceae
Description: bacterial SSU rRNA
Rfam family: Bacterial small subunit ribosomal RNA
Source: RNAcentral